This 492-nucleotide ribosomal RNA is filed under the name uncultured bacterium. RNAcentral describes it as "partial 16S ribosomal RNA". It matches the Rfam family "Bacterial small subunit ribosomal RNA", at positions 29 to 507 of the family's 1533-position model. The record is from RNAcentral.
AGUGAACGCUGGCGGUAGGCCUAACACAUGCAAGUCGAACGGCAGCACAGUAAGAGCUUGCUCUUACGGGUGGCGAGUGGCGGACGGGUGAGGAAUACAUCGGAAUCUACUUUUUCGUGGGGGAUAACGUAGGGAAACUUACGCUAAUACCGCAUACGACCUACGGGUGAAAGCAGGGGAUCUUCGGACCUUGCGCGAUUGAAUGAGCCGAUGUCGGAUUAGCUAGUUGGCGGGGUAAAGGCCCACCAAGGCGACGAUCCGUAGCUGGUCUGAGAGGAUGAUCCGCCACACUGGAACUGGGACACAGUCCCGACUCCUACGGGAGGCAGCAGUGGGGAAUAUUGGACAAUGGGCGCAAGCCUGAUCCAGCCAUACCGCGUGGGUGAAGAAGGCCUUCGGGUUGUAAAGCCCUUUUGUUGGGAAAGAAAAGCAGCAGGUUAAUACCCCGCUGUUCUGACGGUACCCAAAGAAUAAGCACCGGCUAACUUCGUG